GUGCUCGCUUCGGCAGCACAUAUACUAAAAUUGGAACGAUACAGAGAAGAUUAGAAUGGCCCCUGCGCAAGGAGACAGCAAGACCAAAAGACUGUUCAGGUCUGU
Small nuclear RNA from Ochotona curzoniae (black-lipped pika), 105 nucleotides. NCBI's taxonomy places the organism in Eukaryota, Metazoa, Chordata, Mammalia, Lagomorpha, Ochotonidae. The record is from RefSeq and is a predicted model, not a curated record.